AGCGGGGACCUGUAGUGUUUCGUUAUCGGGGACUUGAGGGUCUGGGUCCUGUCUAGAGGCUGGAGGAAAUGAUACCGGGGUAUUUUUCUCCAACAACACAUAUAUGGGUCAAUUAGAAAAAAAAAGAAAAUGAAGGCAAGAUUUCAGAAUCUAACCCUAAAGAUACAUACAAUACUAUAACAUAUGUUACCAAACUCUAAACCAAAGGCUCAUGAGCCAAUAUACAUUCACUCAU
Molecule: long non-coding RNA, 235 nt
Filed under: Brassica napus (rape)
Lineage: Eukaryota; Viridiplantae; Streptophyta; Magnoliopsida; Brassicales; Brassicaceae
Description: long non-coding RNA (BNAP_LNC022879)
Source: RNAcentral